UACGUAGGGGCUAGCGUUAUCCGGAUUUACUGGGCGUAAAGGGUGCGUAGAUGGUUUCUUAAGUCAGGAGUGAAAGGCUACGGCUUAACCGUAGUAAGCUCUUGAAACUGGGAAACUUGAGUGCAGGAGAGGAAAGUGGAAUUCCUAGUGUAGCGGUGAAAUGCGUAGAUAUUAGGAGGAACACCAGUAGCGAAGGCGGCUUUCUGGACUGUAACUGACACUGAGGCACGAAAGCGUGGGGAGCAAACAGGAUUAGAUACCCUGGUAGUCCCUGAGCGGG
This 280-nucleotide ribosomal RNA is filed under the name uncultured prokaryote. RNAcentral's name for it is "partial 16S ribosomal RNA". It matches the Rfam family "Bacterial small subunit ribosomal RNA", at positions 524 to 803 of the family's 1533-position model. The record is from RNAcentral.